RNAcentral lists this long non-coding RNA (436 nucleotides) under Anser brachyrhynchus (Pink-footed goose). Its description in RNAcentral is "lncRNA (ENSABRG00000000459.1)". Lineage: Eukaryota; Metazoa; Chordata; Aves; Anseriformes; Anatidae. The record is from RNAcentral.
AAUUGAUAGGAUUGAUUAGGGAUGCCUCACAGUGAGGGGCCGAGCUUCUGGCUGCGCCCUGAAUGUCGUGUGGGGCCUUUAAACGUGGACACGAAACGUUGUCACUGGAAACUGUGGGAAGCAGGGCUCUCCAGAGAGCAAAGCAGCAGUUCAGGAAAUGAAGGCAAAUGCCGUAUCGAAUGUGAAAGCAAAAAGUAGGAGUGAGCUAUCCAGAGGCAGAGGAACGGAGUCUUACCUGUUCGUGGUCCACCCACGUUUCCUGGCAUGCUUGGCAAUGCUUACAGUCAACGGUGGCUGGAAAGCCAAAGCCCCUUUGAGGAGGAAAUACUAUGAAGAUGAGAGACAGUAUCCAAGAAAGAUAGAAAAGUAGCCAUCGAGGGACAAUGUACACUUAAAAUAUAAUAAAUAUGUGGAACAGCAAAGUUGGAUGUUAGUA